Molecule: unclassified non-coding RNA, 244 nt
Filed under: plant metagenome
Description: partial contains small subunit ribosomal RNA, internal transcribed spacer 1, and 5.8S ribosomal RNA
Rfam family: 5.8S ribosomal RNA (bases 196-244)
Source: RNAcentral
UCUCCGUUGGUGAACCAGCGGAGGGAUCAUUACAGGACUCGCAAGACUCCUUCACCCUGUGAACCUCACUACAAGCACGUUGCUUCGGCGGGUGUCCCGGCGGGGGUUUUCCCUCGCCGGGGCGCACAGCCCGCCGGCAGCCUACUAUACUCUGUCUCUUUGCGUUGGCAUCUCGAGAAAAAACAAACAAGUUAAAACUUUCAACAACGGAUCUCUUGGUUCUGACAUCGAUGAAGAACGCAGC